RNAcentral lists this ribosomal RNA (486 nucleotides) under uncultured bacterium. Its description in RNAcentral is "partial 16S ribosomal RNA". It matches the Rfam family "Bacterial small subunit ribosomal RNA", at positions 29 to 507 of the family's 1533-position model. The record is from RNAcentral.
AUUGAACGCUGGCGGCAUGCCUUACACAUGCAAGUCGAACGGCAGCACGGGUGCUUGCACCUGGUGGCGAGUGGCGAACGGGUGAGUAAUACAUCGGAACAUGUCCUGUAGUGGGGGAUAGCCCGGCGAAAGCCGGAUUAAUACCGCAUACGAUCCACGGAUGAAAGCGGGGGACCUUCGGGCCUCGCGCUAUAGGGUUGGCCGAUGGCUGAUUAGCUAGUUGGUGGGGUAAAGGCCUACCAAGGCGACGAUCAGUAGCUGGUCUGAGAGGACGACCAGCCACCUGGGCACGGAGACACGCCCAAGCCCCCUGGGGGAGGCAGGAGUGGGGAAUUUGGGACAAGGGGCGAAAGCUUGAUCAAGAAAGGCCGGGUGUGGGAAGAAGGCCUUGGGGUUGAAAAGCACUUUUGCCGGAAAAGAAAUCUUUGACUCAAAUACGGGGGGGGGAGGAGGGUACCGAAAAAAAAAGCCCGGGCAAACCAGGUG